GACGAACGCUGGCGGCGUGCUUAACACAUGCAAGUCGUACGGUAAGGCCCUUUCGGAGGUACACGAGUGGCGAACGGGUGAGUAACACGUGAGUAACCUGCCCACAACUUUGGGAUAACGCUAGGAAACUGGUGCUAAUACUGGAUAUGUGCUCCUGCUGCAUGGUGGGGGUUGGAAAGCUCCGGCGGUUGUGGAUGGACUCGCGGCCUAUCAGCUUGUUGGUGGGGUAGUGGCCUACCAAGGCGGCGACGGGUAGCCGGCCUGAGAGGGUGACCGGCCACAUUGGGACUGAGAUACGGCCCAGACUCCUACGGGAGGCAGCAGUGGGGAAUAUUGCACAAUGGGCGCAAGCCUGAUGCAGCAACGCCGCGUGCGGGAUGACGGCCUUCGGGUUGUAAACCGCUUUCAGCAGGGACGAAGCUUUUUGUGACGGUACCUGCAGAAGAAGCACCGGCUAACUACGUG
Molecule: ribosomal RNA, 465 nt
Filed under: uncultured bacterium
Lineage: Bacteria
Description: partial 16S ribosomal RNA
Rfam family: Bacterial small subunit ribosomal RNA
Source: RNAcentral